This 683-nucleotide ribosomal RNA is filed under the name uncultured Lachnospiraceae bacterium. Its description in RNAcentral is "bacterial SSU rRNA". It matches the Rfam family "Bacterial small subunit ribosomal RNA", at positions 45 to 742 of the family's 1533-position model. The record is from RNAcentral. Lineage: Bacteria; Bacillati; Bacillota; Clostridia; Lachnospirales; Lachnospiraceae.
UGCCUAACACAUGCAAGUCGAACGGGACUUGCCCCUUCGGGGACAAGUUUAGUGGCGGACGGGUGAGUAACGCGUGAGCAACCUGCCUUUCAGUGGGGGACAACAGUUGGAAACGACUGCUAAUACCGCAUAACACUUAUUAGGGGCAUCUCUGAUAAGUCAAAGAUUUAUUGCUGAAAGAUGGGCUCGCGUCUGAUUAGCUAGUUGGUGGGGUAAUGGCCCACCAAGGCGACGAUCAGUAGCCGGACUGAGAGGUUGAACGGCCACAUUGGGACUGAGAUACGGCCCAGACUCCUACGGGAGGCAGCAGUGGGGAAUAUUGGGCAAUGGGGGAAACCCUGACCCAGCAACGCCGCGUGAAGGAAGAAGGCCUUCGGGUUGUAAACUUCUUUUACCAGGGACGAAGGACGUGACGGUACCUGGAGAAAAAGCCACGGCUAACUACGUGCCAGCAGCCGCGGUAAUACGUAGGUGGCAAGCGUUGUCCGGAUUUACUGGGUGUAAAGGGCGUGUAGGCGGAGCUGCAAGUCAGAUGUGAAAUCUCUGGGCUCAACCCAGAAACUGCAUUUGAAACUGUAGCCCUUGAGUAUCGGAGAGGCAAGCGGAAUUCUUAGUGUAGCGGUGAAAUGCGUAGAUAUUAGGAGGAACACCAGUGGCGAAGGCGGCUUGCUGGACGACAACUG